GAGGCUGCAGUCGAGAAUCUUGGACAAUGCACGAAAGUGUGAUCCAGCGACGUCGCGUGUAUGAAGAAGCUUUUCGGAGUGUAAAGUACUUUUCUAUGGGAACAAUUUUUGAGCUUACCAUAGGAAUAAGGGGUUGCUAACUACGUGCCAGAAGCAUCGGUAAUACGUAGGCCCCGAGCGUUAUCCGGAUUAAUUGGGCGUAAAGCGUCUGUAGGGGGUUUGGUAAGUUUGGUGUUAAAUUUCAGAGCUCAACUCUGAAACUGCGCUGAAAACUGCUUAACUUGAGGACAGGAGAGGUUGAUGGAACUUAUGGUGUAGGGGUGAAAUCCGUUGAUAUCAUAAGGAACACCAAGGGCGAAGGCAUUCAACUGGCCUGAUCCUGACCCUGAGAGACGAAAGCGUGGGUAGCGAAAGGGAUUAGAUACCCCUGUAGUCCACGCCGUAAACGAUGAACACUAGCUGUGCGGAGUAUCGACCCUCUGCGUGGCGAAGCUAACGCGUUAAGUGUUCCGCCUGGGAAGUACGAACGCAAGUUUAAAACUCAAAGGAAUAGACGGGAGCUCGCACAAGCGGUGGAGCGUGUGGUUUAAUUCGAUGAUACGCGGGGAACCUUACCAAGGCUUGAAAUUCUAGCGAAAUUGCCGGGAAACCAGCAAUGUCUUUUAGACGCUAGUUCAGGUGGUGCACGGUUGCCGUCAGCUCGUGGUGUGAACUGUUCCCUUAAGUGGGGAAACGAGCGCAACCCUCGUCCUGUGUUACAAGUGUCACAGGAGACUGCGGCUGUAUAAGUCGAGGAAGGAGAGGACGACGUCAAAUCAGCGUGUCCCUUUGACGCCUUGGGCGACACACGCGCUACAAUGGCCGGUACAACGGGUUGCCAAACCGUAAGGUGGAGCUAAUCCCUAAAAACCGGUCUCAGUUCGGAUUGAGG
This 931-nucleotide ribosomal RNA is filed under the name uncultured bacterium. RNAcentral's name for it is "bacterial SSU rRNA". It matches the Rfam family "Bacterial small subunit ribosomal RNA", at positions 345 to 1303 of the family's 1533-position model. The record is from RNAcentral.